This is a non-coding RNA of Aegilops tauschii subsp. strangulata, 1417 nucleotides long. The record is from RefSeq and is a predicted model, not a curated record. Lineage: Eukaryota; Viridiplantae; Streptophyta; Magnoliopsida; Poales; Poaceae.
GAUUUGCUAACCUCCCCGUACCCACCUUCACAGUAUCCACAGAAAAAAAUCUCCACAUUAUCUCAACCUCCUCCGUCCAAGAAGCACGCCGCCAAGCAAAUCUCUUCUCUCCGUGACCACAACGUUGCCGCCGCCGCCACCUCUGAUUCUGGCUUGCUCCGGCGCUUGUUGCGCCGCCGCUCACAGAAACGGCUACUCCUCACUGCCCUCCCCUUGAUCCCCCGCCAUGGCGACUUCCUCCGCGCCCCUACAUGCGGGCCACAGCAACCCUAGUUACCAUAGGUCGCCAGCGGCCGCGCCUCAUCCGCUUUGUCACCCUACAGCCCCGCGCUACGUCUCUGCACGCGCCGCUCCAAGCUCGGCCAUGGUGGUGCUGAUCCGCCUCAGCAAUCUUGACUCCGACGCCGCUGACGAUUCAGCAAGACUCUCCUCCUCUGACCCGCUCUUCUCUUACACUAUUUGGUUCUUUCUGUGGCAGGUCAUGGCGAAUUCUUUGCCGCCCAAUCUGACGACAAUCGACGCUACCUUGAUUACUCAUCUUGAUCCACAUCCCAGCAACGACAUCAAUGUCGCUGCACUUGUUAAUCAGAGGAUGCCUAACAUGACAGUAAUGAUCUGCGUGGGGUGUUAAUCGGAGAGACGAGAUGGCUAUAUCUUUCAGAAUAUUUUCACUGGUGGCAUGUUCGUCUGCUGGAAGCAAUUCGCCUAGAGGGGAAAGGGCGUCCGUUGUACCGGAGUUACAGGUGUUGGCCUCUAGCUUGCUGUCAAAGAGAUGCUCUUGCAGGGAACCAGAGCAAUGCUUUAAUUCUUGCGAACGCAUCAAUGCAAUGCAAGUGUGGCACCCCGAUCCGCAUGGAGCAGGAGGCCUUCGCACGUCAGCCCAGGAUUACGUCUGACGCACGACAGGUCCAUGAUACAGCAUUCCAGCCCUAAGGCUAUUUACAUGGCAGCGGAAGUCCAUAUAAAUGGCGGCGGAAGUCUUGGUUUGGCAGCGUCUUAUUAAGGCUGGGCUCCAUAACGCACAGGACUGGCAUGAUUACGACCUAGCACGACGGAACAAGCGAACGACCUACAAAACUGGCAUGACACGCCAGUGGCGCACUGCCAGUCAGUUCCAGUACUGAACAAUGGGCAGGGUGGUGGUCGUUCAUGCUAUAACAAUGUCAUAGAAGGCAUCCUCGGGAAGUUCAUAGAGAAGCUUGUCAUCCAGCAUGAAGGGUGAUGAAGACGAAGAUGAUGCAUGGCUAAGUUGUUGAUAGGAAAGGUGUAGAAUGGGGCUAAUACAAGAUAGUUUUAGAUUUACCUUAUACAAUGUCAUUUUCAUGCUUAAUAUGUAGGAGAUCAUGUACUAUCUUUUUCAGAUUGUGUUCCAUGUAAUGCAACCGAGUUGAUUAAAUAUAUGAAAUCUUUCUGUUUA